This 494-nucleotide ribosomal RNA is filed under the name uncultured bacterium. RNAcentral's name for it is "partial 16S ribosomal RNA". It matches the Rfam family "Bacterial small subunit ribosomal RNA", at positions 28 to 507 of the family's 1533-position model. The record is from RNAcentral.
GACGAACGCUGGCGGCGUGCUUAACACAUGCAAGUCGAACGGAAAGGCCUGCUUUCCCUUGUGGAUUGCGGGUACUCGAGUGGCGAACGGGUGAGUAACACGUGAGUGAUCUGCCCCCAACUUGGGUAUAAGCCUGGGAAACUGGGUCUAAUUCCCGAUAGGACUGCAGGGUGGUGCCUGUGGUGGAAAACGAUUUUCUAGUGGUUGGGGAUGAGCUCGCGGCCUAUCAGCUUGUUGGUGGGGUAAUGGGCUACCAAGGCGGCGACGGGUAGCCGGCCGGGGAGGGUGGACGGCCACAUUGGGACUGAGAUACGGCCCAGACUCCUACGGGAGGCAGCAGUGGGGAAUAUUGCACAAUGGGCGGAAGCCUGAUGCAGCGACGCCGCGUGGGGGAUGACGGCCUUCGGGUUGUAAACUCCUUUCGACCGCGAGGAAGCCACCUGGUUGGAAGGGUGGUGACGGUAGUGGUAGAAGAAGCACCGGCUAACUACGUG